UACGUAGGGUGCGAGCGUUGUCCGGAAUUACUGGGCGUAAAGGGCUCGUAGGUGGUUGUGCGUGUCUGUGAAAUUCUGGGGCUUAACUCCGGGCGUGCAGGCGAUACGGGCAUAACUUGAGUGCUGUAGGGGUAACUGGAAUUCCUGGUGUAGCGGUGAAAUGCGCAGAUAUCAGGAGGAACACCGAUGGCGAAGGCAGGUUACUGGGCAGUUACUGACGCUGAGGAGCGAAAGCAUGGGUAGCGAACAGGAUUAGAUACCCCCGUAGUCC
Molecule: ribosomal RNA, 271 nt
Filed under: uncultured bacterium
Lineage: Bacteria
Description: partial 16S ribosomal RNA
Rfam family: Bacterial small subunit ribosomal RNA
Source: RNAcentral